Molecule: ribosomal RNA, 433 nt
Filed under: uncultured bacterium
Lineage: Bacteria
Description: partial 16S ribosomal RNA
Rfam family: Bacterial small subunit ribosomal RNA
Source: RNAcentral
AACGAACGCUGGCGGCAUGCCUAACACAUGCAAGUCGAACGAGACCUUCGGGUCUAGAGGCGCACGGGUGCGUAACGCGUUGGAUCCUGCCCUUAGGUUCGGAAUAACUCCCCGAAAGGGGUGCUAAUACCGGAUAAUGUUUUCGGACCAAAGAUUUAUCGCCUUUGGAUGGGCCCGCGUUGGAUUAGCUAGGUGGUAGGGUAAAAGCCUACCAAGGCGACGAUCCAUAGCUGGUCUGAGAGGAUGAUCAGCAACACUGGGACUGAGACACGGCCCAGACGCCUACGGGAGGCGGCAGUGGGGAAUAUUGGACAAUGGGCGAAAGCCUGACCCAGCAAUGCCGCGUGAGUGAUGAAGGCCUUAGGGUUGUAAAGCUCUUUUACCCGGGAUGAUAAUGACAGUACCGGGAGAAUAAGCUCCGGCUAACUCCGUG